This 482-nucleotide ribosomal RNA is filed under the name uncultured bacterium. RNAcentral describes it as "partial 16S ribosomal RNA". It matches the Rfam family "Bacterial small subunit ribosomal RNA", at positions 28 to 523 of the family's 1533-position model. The record is from RNAcentral.
GACGAACGCUGGCGGCGUGCUUAACACAUGCAAGUCGAACGAUGAAACCUAGCUUGCUAGGUCGAUUAGUGGCGAACGGGUGAGUAACACGUGACUAACCUGCCCCUUUCUCUGGGAUAACGCUCCGAAAGGAGUGCUAAUACCGGAUACUCACAUCGAGGCACAUGCCUUGAUGUGGAAAGUUUUUCGGAAAGGGAUGGAGUCGCGGCCUAUCAGCUUGUUGGUGAGGUAAAGGCUCACCACGGCGACGACGGGUAGCCGGCCUGAGAGGGGGCACGGGCACACUGGGACUGAGACACGGCCCAGACUCCUACGGGAGGCAGCAGUGGGGAAUAUUGCACAAUGGGCGCAAGCCUGAUGCAGCGACGCCGCGUGAGGGAUGAAGGUCUUCGGAUUGUAAACCUCUUUCAGUAGGGACGAAGCGAAAGUGACGGUACCUAAAGAAGAAGCACCGGCUAACUACGUGCCAGCCGCCGCGGUAA